CCUACGGGAGGCAGCAGUGGGGAAUAUUGGGCAAUGGGCGCAAGCCUGACCCAGCAACGCCGCGUGAAGGAAGAAGGCCCUCGGGUUGUAAACUUCUUUUAUUCGGGACGAAACAAAUGACGGUACCGAAUGAAUAAUCCACGGAAAACUACGUGCCAGCACCCGCGAUAACACGUAGGUGGCAAGCGUUAUCCGGAUUUUCUGGGUAUAAAGGGCGUGUAGGGGGGAGAGAAAGUCAGACGUAAAAUUCCAGGGCUAAACCCUGGAACUGCGGUUGAACCUGUUCUUCUUGAGUGAUGGAGAGGCAGGCGGAAUUCCGUGUGUAGCGGUGAAAUGCGGAGAUAUACGGAGGAACACCAGUGGCGAAGGCGGCCUGCUGGACAUUAACUGACGCUGAGGCGCGAAAGCGUGGGGAGCAAACAGGAGUAGAUACCGGUAGUC
RNAcentral lists this ribosomal RNA (441 nucleotides) under uncultured bacterium. Its description in RNAcentral is "partial 16S ribosomal RNA". It matches the Rfam family "Bacterial small subunit ribosomal RNA", at positions 338 to 795 of the family's 1533-position model. The record is from RNAcentral.